ACAGACUGACGGUGCAGAACAAAAUGCGAAGAUCAUGUGGUCUGACAUUCAGGGUGAUGCACGUCAGAAAAAAAAAAAAAAGAAAAAAAAAAGAAAAAAAGAAGAAAAAAAAUCACUCUGUGAGUUCUGCAUAAAGGCCAGAACUUCUGUUUGGAUAGAGGAGAAUAGAUCCAGUCUUGAUUUAAGGACUUAAUGUCUCCACACUCAGGGGCAAACUGUUCCAUUUAAUGAGUUGAAUCAGCUCCCUGGGAGGUCAGAGUGAGGUGAGAAUGGAAAGGAGGAGGAAGAGGAGGAGGAAGCAGGAAGGCAGCUUCAGCAAUACCAAACUCUCCAGCUAAGGCCUUCUCUCUGCCGACCCCCAUUUCCAAAAGACCAAAAUAUGUUGCAAAACCAGAAAGCCAAGUACUGCAAAAUGCUUCUUGGACCAUCUUGGAUGUGUUAACUCGAAGACUGCUGAUGACUUCAGUAGAUUUGAAUCUUAUGAAUGUGUGAUUGCAGUGCCUGGGGAUAAUGUAACCAGCAACGUGAUUUAUGUACAUACUUUUGGACCAGAGGGAGGUACCAUAGGGUAGAAUAUGUGUCUUUGAAUAACAAUGCAUUAUUUUAUCACUGCAUUUCAACGUUUUGAACAACUCGGAUAAUGCAGAGUAGGGGAGGAGGCUUAGACGCACAAAUGACAAAUCUCAUCAGCUGUUUUCCCUCAGUAUUCCCACAGAUUUCUUCUGAGGUUGGUCUAUUAUCCCUGGAGCUUUCCAGUCAGAGACUUUGCAGAAAAAAAUCAUUAGAAAUAAAAUCAGGUACAGAAGAAUAUGAACAUCUUAGACAGAAAAGGAACAAGGGAGAGAGCAAGUUUUAAAAAGCAAGACUGCUAGCAUCAGGAAUGGUAGAAGGCAGUGAACAUUAGAUGUGCUUCCCACGCAUACAGGAGUUUCAACUACAUUUCUUGGGUGUGUGACCCAGGUUUUAGGUGUAAUGAAGAUGGUUGUUAACUAUCUACAGAGAUAGAUAUCCAUCACUGGUUAGGAGAUAGAUAACCACCACUCGAGGUAGGAGUCAGGUGCCGAGUGUGACCCUUGUGCAUACAUUGCUCUCAGUGACCAGGGUACUGUCCUAGAGCAUGGGAACACAGUAGGCAGGGUCAGGGGCUGGUAAUAGGUCAACAGCCCCCUCCCACAAGUGAUAAUCCAGGCCCAGGAUGCAUUCAGGAAAGUCAGCCAGGAAAAGAGAUCAAAAGCAGUACUGGAAACAAGGCAACCACACAGGUACAAGGUCCAUCCAGGACACUGGGCCAGAGGCAAAACUAGGCCUGAGCUGAAAUGGGACUCCUGGACCAGUGGAUGUGGGUUGGGUGUAGAUGUUGGGCGAGGCCAUUAAUGCCUCCCGGUACACUCACGUCCUGAUGGAAACAUAAGCAUGCUUAGGCUGUGUGGUCAUUACAUGGCACUGUGAAAUUGUGACCAAUAUUUGGCGAGUUUUAUGCAGCACUGUUCUGCACAGCCAGAGGGAUUUAUAGCCUAGUCUCAAGGAGGCUAAACAAAACAAUGAUUGGCUUGUUGGGGAUAACAUGAUCUCCAGGUGGGCUGUGUUAGUUCUUUGAUUAUCUGUCUUUUCAAAAUGCUCCCUUUCGUAAGGAGGACUCUUUCAACAGUCAUAUUAGGUGAUGUCACUUAUUAGAUGCUCAUCCUCCUUCUAGAACUCAAGUCUUGCCCAAUUACCAAAACAGACAGUUAGUAUCAGCAGAAACCCAUUAGUGUGCAAUGCAAAAAGAGAGAGCAUGGGGUGCUGGAAAGGUUAAUAUGUAAGUUAGAAGCAGUCCCUGCUGCUUCUAAUUGCAUGCCCCAGUUCUGACCUCAGAGAAUGGCAAAGAAAGGAAAAUAUCAUUAGAAAACUACAGGUAGUGAAUUUUGAGUUGCAGCUGGACUAAACAUAUUCAGACAGUGUUUUCUUAGUCCUUUCCAUUUGUUUGAACCAAGCUGUGCUCCUGUGAACAUUUUUGAACAUUAAAUGUCAAGGCAAAGCCAAAAUUAUUAAUUGAUAUGCAGUAUCCCUUAACUUGACAAAGCAAAAUUAGGUUUGGAUUGGCUACUUAACACUGUGGAUCAAGCUAAAACAUGCAUUGCUUUGUUGGCUAAUCACAGAAGUCAAAAGUUAGAACACACUCUUGCACGGAGAGUUAAGAAAGGACUAUGCACCACCUAAGCUUUCUAUCUAAAGCCCUUUCUUUGGGCUUAUGAUGACAGCUCACCCCAUGCAGACAGUAACCUUUUGCCUUGCAAAAUUCAGAUAUCAGUGAAAAGUCGCAAGACGUUCCAAGAAUGAUGGUCGCAAAAAUCACAAAAGAACUCUCCAAAAUGACUCUUCUGAUAGUGGCUGAAGAAGCUACUGAAGAAGCAGGAUGAAGAAGCAGAAUGAAGCAGGGUGAAGAAUGAAGCAGAACCAGUCUAGAUUGUCAGAAAGGACAGCGAAAACUGAUGGAGAUUUCCAGUGUCUCAAGCCAUUCUUCUCUUUCUUCCCUAACAUUAAGAAGAGUUCACAUUGGAGGGUCCUAACCUCUUCAGGGCUAACCAAAAGUUAAAGCACUAUCUAUGUCAUUAUCGAAAUGUCUCUUGAACACUGCAUACAUGUGGCAUCAACCAUGUCUCUAGGAAGUCUGUUUCACUGUUUGUUCACCCUCAUGGUAAAGAAAUUUUUCCUCAUGUCCUGUCUGAACCUCCCCUGGUGCAGCUUUUUGCUGUUCCCACACAUCCUGCCUUUCAGUUCCCUGGGAGCAGAGGCCGUCACCCCUCUCUCCAAUUCGCCUCAUCUGGAAGCUGUAGAAAGCAGUGAGGUUGCCUCUUGGCCUCAUUUUCUCCAGACUAGACAACCCAAGGGUACUGAGCCCCUUUUCAUUGGACAUGCGUACAUCUUGAAGCUAAGGGUAACAGUCUUACAUUAUCUUUGUUGUUAUUUCAGGGUGUGCUGGGUCUGAGGUCACCUUCUCCCCAGCAAUUUCCUCCUCCCGCCUCUCUGUAAUGGCUCUGAUUACAGCACCUAUUGCUAUUACCACCAUCAGAUAUCCUGGGGAAGAAUUUCAAGCCCUAGAAGCCCUGGGGCAAGCAUGAUUACUUUAUAAUAAGAAAAGAGUAAGUGGUGCAGCCCAGUGAAUAAAAGCACUGACAGAGACUCUAACUCAAGGCUUAAAUUUGAAGCUCACUUGGAUGACCUGAAGCAAGUCUCUGGCCUCAUUUUUUUUCACCUCAUGUGAUGAGACAGUAAACUUAAUAAUCUCUUACAGUGUGUUUGCCCAGACUCUACCAGCGGAUCACUUUUGCUCUUCAGGGAGACAUCUAAGUACUAUUGUAGCACCAUAACAAAUCAUUUUAUAAAGCCAAAAAAGACCACAGCAAUCAUCAGGUUUGGUAUCUUGCCAUACACAAUAAUAAAGAAAACCAAAAGUACUUGAAGAAGAUGAAAAUGUAAGUUUAAUUGGCCCCUGUUCAUACUUCUGCCUUUGAACUGUGUGAUAUGAGAGUCUGGUUCUUCAUAUACAGUGUAAGAAUACUUCAGGCAGCUUGAAUGAAAAAAAAAAAAAAAAGAAAAAAAAGAUUUACUGUACCACACUUUAAACUUCACCUCAGAAUUUGACCCUGGGCAGCCACUAGUAGUUACAGCUGGAAAAUUUCACAGCAUGGCUGUCUUGACAUGUAGUUAUUCCUCAACAUUCAAAAGUUGGAUGAAUCAAAACAUUUGAAAAUAUUAAUGUGCCUGUUUGCUAUGGAUCCCUCUCUCCUGUGGCCUGAAGGCAAGAUAAGAACAAAUAAGUACAUAUGUUAAUAUUCCUCUUUUGAAUUUAAUUUUGCCAAAGUCCAUUAAAGAGGUUAACCAUUUCCAUGAAGGUCUGAAAUGGAAAACAGAGCAGAAAUCAAAAUGACAUUGAGAUUUUAGAAAAUUCGUCUUUAAGUUUCUAUUUUUUUUAACUUGUUUUUCAUAGCUGUUUUUGCAGUUCUUUGUAAGCCUUGUGGUACCUUGCUGACCUCUCCAUCAAUGGAUAAUUAGAAGGCCAUCAAGUUCUCAGUGACAAUGAUAUCCAGAUGUCCUUUUAAACACAUGGUUGCUGGGUAACAGGACCUUGCACUGCAUUCCUUCUUUGAAACAUUUGUCCUAUUUUUCAUGUAUUCCUGCCAGUAAGUAUGUCAGCAUUCAGCCAAUGUGCUGGAGGGCAAAAUGCUAGCUGGAGAUUUUUGAUAUCAUGUGCUACUUCCCAAAAGGAAAAUAAUCAGAACAACCAGAGAGCUCUGAUGUGUUGCGCUGCAAAGGGCUGCAUCAACUUGACUUCCACUUUCAUACCAGAUUUCUCUGGCUGAAUUGGUCUUGGGAUGGGAAUGCAUGAGGAUUUACCUUCUUGUUACUGUUUAGUAGUUCUUACUCUUGAAAAACAACAAAAUUUAAAGCACAACUAAGGACACAAGAAUUUGGCCUGACAGAUCUGAAUGACCUUUUGGAUCAUAACAAAGGAUUUUUAAAAAUUCCACUUGUGACAGUGACCAAUGUAUUUCGGGGAAAAAAAAAAAAAAAAAAAAAAAAGUGAAGUCAAAUGACAACCAUGUGUAGUUUAGCAAGGAAUCUGCAAGGCUGUGUUUAAACUUUCUUAGUCAUGUUCCAAAAGCCCUUGAGAAACCCAAAGUCCUUGCAGCCUGCCAUGGUGUUCUUUUGCCCGUGUAUCUUAUGAUAACCUCUAUUUGUAUGACUUUUAAGGAGCCAUUGUUCCACUUACCUAAAAAACAAACAAAUGAACAAAAACAAACAAACAAACAAAAGUGAAGAACAACAAAAAAAAGCAAAGAGUACAGAGAAAAAUGAGAAAACCCAGAGAGUGAAAGUCAUUUUGGGACUAAUACUGAACUUGUAUAAAUAAUAGGGAGUUUUUUAAAAAAGGUAGAGCUUUGUCAUGAUAUGUUACACGUACAAGGAUUAAGUAAGUGACUGUACAUCUGACUACCAAUGGAGAAAAGAGAGAAAGAAUCAGUAUCUGUUCCAGUAAUUCCCUCAGGACUUUGUCUUUUCAAAGAUGUUUUCCUCUCCAGGAUUGUUUUUCUGGUUUUGGCCCUCCUUAGCUAGUGAACUAGUGAGAACAAAAUAAACAGUGCAAAAGGCUGAACAAAAUCAAAGUGCAUAAAGGCUGAACAGUGAAUCUGUUAAGGUAUCCAGAAGCAGACUGCAUAGGGUAGGUAUUCCUGUGUCAAAAUUAUGUGUGAUCACAUUGUUAAAGACUGUGUCAACACAAAAAGCAUAAAGAAGCAAACUGGUAGCUUCUUUCUUUUUUCUUUUUUUUUUUUUUUUUUUUUUUUUUUUUUUUUUCCUUUUUUUUUUUUUCCCCCCUGUUUUAGAGGAGCCCAGCUUUGUAACUUUGAUGCUAACAGUCUGUUUGAUUUAAAUAAUAAUAUGCAAAUAAACAUCAUAUGAGAGUGAGAGCAAAUGCAUUUGCAUACAAAGUAUAUAUAGCAUACUCACUGUCAUUUAAUAUAUAUGGGCUAAAUUCUCCUCUCAGAUACAAUGGUAUAAAUGCAGAUUAAAGCUAUUGGAUGUGACAGAAUUAAUAUAAUUUCACCAAAAUAAAUGGACGGAGGGAGAUUUUUUUCUAAAAAAAUAGCUUCUUAUGAAAACUACCUCUUAGUCCAUGAUGUUUCAUCAAGAUCUUGUGUGAAGGAAUAAAUUGAGCCAUUCCUCCCCAAAGCCUUUAAAAGACAUGUUGCUUAUUUGCUUGUAACCAAAUAAUUCAGCAGGAAACCAGCAGACAAUGGGAAAGCCUACUGCAAGAGGAAAAAAAAAAAGUUUGACAGCACUAAUGAAUAGCUUUGGGCAAUAUAUCUUAUUGAUGACUGCUUCCUUGCUCCUCUCACAAAGACUCCUUCCCAUAGCCCUCAGGGUCAGCUGCUGUGGACGUGAAUACAACGCAGCACUUGAAAGAAUGCUUUCUUCCUCCAUAUCUAAGGUAUUUUUGUGCUCUCCCUCUCCAUGGAACUGGGCUCAGAUAGCAUUUAAGAUGCUUCAAGUGCUGCGAACACGGCUCAGGCUUUUCGCUGACCCUGCAGGGAGGGCUGCUCCAGCAUAUGGGAAUGAUUUGAGAUCCAGAUGUUAGCAGGACCAGAGGAACCAGUGGGCAGCUCUUGCCUGGUUCCAGCUGAUAACUGUUUUUAGGUGGGCAGAUGCUUGGCUCAUACAUAGCAGAUAACAGUCUUGACAGCUGCUCCGUGGAUCCAGGAUGAGGAAAAUGAUGUAUGAACAAGGUAUGAUGAGGUGAAGAGUGGAGCUGAGACCAACUUCUGCUCUGCAUCUCAGUCACCCGGAGAAAGGUUGUACAGUUUAUGCCUGAAAAUGCAAAGUUUAUGAGAACGAACAACUAGACAUGAGAUUGCUAAAUGAACUCUGGAUGUGCUUAUUUAAUUAUCUCAUGAACAUGAACCAAAAGACUAUGUUUAGAAAACAGUAUUUAUGAAGAGAGUUGUGGGUGUGUGGGCAAAUGAUGUAAUUAAUUCCAUAUGUAGUUUUCCUAGUGAAAACUUCAGUAUUUGCUGAAUUCCCCCUCAGUUUUCCUGUGUAGAUUUAGUGAGGAAAAGACGGGAUGGGGGAGAAAUUAUCUUUACAGUCAUCAAGUCUGCUGCACUAAUCUCUAAGAAUAGGUGGGUAUACAUACCUGGGUGCACAAGACCCAGCUCAAAUACUUUCUCAGCUUUAAGGGAAGUAAUCCCUGCAUUAUUGGUGUUUUGCUAAGCAGUUACUCAGACUGUCACCUUUCUGUCCCUGAUGCUGCUUAAUGAACCUGUGAAUGGGCCCUAGCUUUGUACCCUGCAAAAUCAGAAGAAGAGCUAGAGGCAAGGAUGAAGUGUAAAAUUAGAUGAUGGCAGGUUACUGGAGCAGUGCUUCUGUUGAUAGAUCUUUUCCAGAAUGUAGUGGUAAUCUUGUGCAAACCAGAGAAUUUAUUCUAAUUAAAAAAGCCAGUCUUUUAUUUAUUUAUUUAUUUAUUUAUUUAUUUAUUUAUUUUACUGUAAGCAACCAAGACAGAGGUUGUCUAAAGUACCCAUAAUAUUCACUCUUUAUAUAUUCAGGUUUUGCUAAGAGUUAAAAAAUGUCUCUUUUAACCUGAAGAAAUGCUGAUUGUUUCAGAAGUUUUGGAUCCAGUCUUUAUUUGUUCACCAUGAGAAAUGUCCCUUUUAAGAAAGAGAAUUUCAGUUCUAUUGUUCUUGGAUUUACUUUGCCAAGUAACUGGACAAAAGAUUCUAAAAUCACCAGGACAUGUUAGCCAAAAUCUCCUCUCUAGUAACUCUUCUGUUCGCAAUGGUGUCCAAACUUUUUUUCCUUGUUUCUCUCGGUCUUGCCCAGACUUGCUCUUUUUCCCUCUCACUUUUAGUUCUGGUUCCUCACUUCAGCGCUGCUAUUUGAGAGUUAUUCUCCUAUUUUCCCUGAUCUGUAAGCAUCUUCAUGCUUCUUGGGCUGCCAACAGCAAAGAGGUCAUAGCAGCUCAGCAGAGCCUCAGGAGAGCAGAACAAAGAUGUUAUGACUGCAAGGAUGCAGCAUGCAACAAACUUUGGCCAGCUUCACCGUGUCAGACAUGUGAGCAGGAAUGAAAGGAAGACCAGUUAUUUCCCACAGACCACCCAGGGCUGAAUUUGCACCUGAGUGAGUACACAGUUAUUGUAACAGUAAAAAGUUUUGGACUUGUACGAUUUCCAUUUUUUGUUUUCUUUUUUCUUUUUCUGUUUUAUCCUCUUAUAGAUUCUUUUUUCCAAUUACUGCUUUAGAAACUUUCUCAUGUUGUACCUCUCAAGCCAGUGGGA
Anas platyrhynchos (mallard) is the source of this 7814-nucleotide non-coding RNA. The record is from RefSeq and is a predicted model, not a curated record. NCBI's taxonomy places the organism in Eukaryota, Metazoa, Chordata, Aves, Anseriformes, Anatidae.